CAGUCGUACCGACGAGAAAUCAACUUAUCGUGUGCGAACUUGUGGGCGUGCGUGAGUUUCGGCCUCGCUGUUUGCAUGUUUGUGCGUUUUGGGUGUACUUUUUCGUAUGGUAGGCCAACGUCAGUUUCGAUUAUCAUAAAAUGACCGGCGGAAUGUAGCUUCGAUUUCGGUUGAAGUGUUAUAGCCUCUGGUAGAUGUGGUGAUUGAGACUGAGGAUUGCAACGAAUACCCUUUGGGCUAUCCGUCUGGCCUCUGAAAGUUGCUCAGGUGCCGAAAGCGUGCUUACGGUCAUCUAAGAUAACGUUCAACAGGUUAGAACGUGAUUACA
Molecule: ribosomal RNA, 328 nt
Filed under: uncultured Glomeromycotina
Lineage: Eukaryota; Fungi; Glomeromycota
Description: eukaryotic LSU rRNA
Source: RNAcentral